RNAcentral lists this non-coding RNA (773 nucleotides) under Hyalessa maculaticollis. The record is from RNAcentral. Lineage: Eukaryota; Metazoa; Arthropoda; Insecta; Hemiptera; Cicadidae.
UUCAAGUUUUAUUCUAGCUUAAAAUAUUAAUUAAUUAAUUAUUUUACAUGUAAUUUUAUAAGUAAUUAAAACAUCUGUUCUAAAAGAACAAUAUAUAUAUUAUUUGCAGUAUAUAAUAUUAUUAUACUUAAUAAUUUUUAGAAAUAGUAAUUCAAACUAGGAAAGACAAAUUUUGUGCCAGCAGUCGCGGUUAUACAAGAUUUUCAAUUUAAUAUAUACAAGUAUUCAGUUAAUUGUUAUUUUUUUAUAAUUUUAUGAAUUUUGGUGAAAUAAUAUUUGUUAUAAAUAUAAAUUUUAUAUGUCUGAUAAACUAUUAAUAUAAACUAGGAUUAGAUACCCUAUUAUUCAAAGGUGUAAAUUAAGUUAACUUGAUUAUUAAUAGAUAUAAUCUUUAAAUUCAAAGAAUUUGGCGGUAAUUUACCUUAUCAGAGGAACCUGUUUUAUAAUUGAUAAUCCACGAUAGAUCAUACUUCAUUAUGACUUGUAUACCGCUGUCAAGAAUGUUCUUUUAGGAAAUUUUCUGUAUCUUUAAUAAACUUAAUGUCAGGUCAAGGUGCAGUUACAAUUAUGAAAGCAAAAAUGGGUUACAUUUUAUUAUAUAAUUGAAUAUAUUCUAUUAUAUUUAGAUUAUUGAAAUUGAAUUUGAAAAUAAAUUAAUUAAAUUUAAUUAAUUGAAAUAAGCUCUAUAUUAUGCACAUAUCGCCCGUCACUCUCAUUUUAAGAUGAGAUAAGUCGUAACAAAGUAGCUGUACCGGAAGGUGUAGCUAGAAUGA